GUCUGGUGCCAGCAGCCGCGGUAAUUCCAGCUCCAAUAGCGUAUAUUAAAGUUGUUGCAGUUAAAAAGCUCGUAGUUGAAUUUCGGGAUCAGAUUGUUGGUCGUGCCUCGGUACGCACUGGCAUUAUUGGUUCCUACCUUCUGAAGAACCGCGAUGUCAUUAAUUUGGUGUCGUGGGGAAUCAGGACAGUUACUUUGAAAAAAUUAGAGUGUUUAAAGCAGGCGCACGCUUGAAUACAUUAGCAUGGAAUAAUGAAAUAGGACGUUUGAUUCUAUUUUGUUGGUUUCUAGGAUCGACGUAAUGAUUAAUAGGGAUAGUUGGGGGCAUUAGUAUUCAAUUGUCAGAGGUGAAAUUCUUGGAUUUAUUGAAGACUAACUACUGCGAAAGCAUUUGCCAAGGAUGUUUUCAUUAAUCAAGAACGAAAGUUAGGGGAUCGAAGACGAUCAGAUACCGUCGUAGUCUUAACCAUAAACUAUGCCGACUAGGGAUCGGAUGAUGUUAAUUUUUUAAUGACUCAUUCGGCGCCUU
Molecule: ribosomal RNA, 528 nt
Filed under: uncultured fungus
Lineage: Eukaryota; Fungi
Description: SSU rRNA
Rfam family: Eukaryotic small subunit ribosomal RNA
Source: RNAcentral